AUCCAAAUGACGAGUCCCAAAUAGGACGAGGUGAUGCACGUCCUGGAU
RNAcentral lists this non-coding RNA (48 nucleotides) under Schistosoma haematobium. The record is from RNAcentral. Lineage: Eukaryota; Metazoa; Platyhelminthes; Trematoda; Strigeidida; Schistosomatidae.